RNAcentral lists this long non-coding RNA (1175 nucleotides) under Vulpes vulpes (red fox). Its description in RNAcentral is "lncRNA (ENSVVUG00000018437.1)". The record is from RNAcentral. Lineage: Eukaryota; Metazoa; Chordata; Mammalia; Carnivora; Canidae.
GAGCGCCGAGCUCCGACGCGGCAGCCUCACCUGCAGCCUCGCCCCGCCGUCCAGCCCGACCAGCGGCCGCCAGGGGGAGCUGAGACCCCAGCCACGGCGCAGGCCGCCUCUGCCCGUCCGCGGCUCCGAAGAACCCAACCAAGUUUCAGCCCAGGACAAGUCUCCUCCGCAGGCAGCGGUAACGCCAGACGUCCCUGCGCCGCCCGCCUGUUGCAUGCUUUGCUUCCUCCCCGCUCGCUGCCUACGGUCGUGCCGCCCCGUGCUCCGCUCCCCGCCCCCGACCUCCGGCCGCGGUCCGGCACGAGCGAGCCCUCAGCCGCCAGAAUAGUAUGAGGCGGUGUGGGACAAACAAGGGGAAGGAUCUCUUCCUCAUUAAAGAAAUGAAAACGGGAAUGCGGUAAAGACCCACAAGCAGGAGACAGUGUGUCUCAGUUACUAUGACACCUGCAUGCAACUCCGCGGCUCAGAGACGCUGGAGCAGUUGUGAAUCCCGUUGUAUUCGACAUAUGGAAUUUCUCACAGAUACCUGAGAUCGCGCUUCAGCGUGAGCCAACCCAAGGUCUGAUCUCCACUAUUAUAGUAACUUAGGAAUCAUAGCAACCCAGUAAAAUAUCAAGCCUCAGCAACACACAAGCCUAUCCCCAGUUGGGGAUUGGUGAUACCUUCAGACCCCUCCAAUUCCAUUCCAUUUUGCUAAAAUGGACAGGUCCGUCCAUUAAAAACUGAGUGCCUUGCUUAGAUCAUUUCUUUUUAUGACUACAUGGUAGACCAUUACUAGCAGAAAAAAUUUCAAAUAAUUUAUCUUAGAUAUAAGAUAUCUCACUUUUUUCCCUAUGGCUCCUCUGCCCAGUAGCAACCCCAGUGACCAGUUGCGAUUUUUCUGACUACUGAAGUUCUUUUUUAUCAUCCUCAUCUCUGCUCAGAUGCUUAAAUUCCUCUAAAAAUACCUCUUAGGUUUUCAAGUUAGAAUGAAUUACUCGAGCACUUUAUGAUUUGUAUCUAUAUCCAGCCCUUAGGUCCUUUGUUUUGUGCUUACUCCUGUACUAUAGUCAAAGUUCCUUCAGGUCAUUAGCAGUCUCUCAAUCCCCUCUGUAAGUUCUGCAUCUGUGUUUGAAAUGAGUUGUACCUUUAACAGUUGGGCUCCCAUAGAGCAGGGUCACAGAGGUUCAUUCUGA